GCCUCGGUAGCUCAGUUGGCCAGAGCGGCUGCCUUGUAAGCAGUAGGUCGGGGGUUCAAAUCCCUCCCGAGGCU
This 74-nucleotide transfer RNA is filed under the name Candidatus Pacearchaeota archaeon. RNAcentral describes it as "tRNA-Thr". It matches the Rfam family "tRNA". From Rfam's summary of the family: Transfer RNA (tRNA) molecules are approximately 80 nucleotides in length. Their secondary structure includes four short double-helical elements and three loops (D, anti-codon, and T loops). The record is from RNAcentral. Lineage: Archaea; Nanobdellati.